GAUUAAAUGGCUGAAUAAGGCGGUAAAUUGUAAAUUUAUUUAUGAAAUAAUUUUCUUUAAUCA
Molecule: transfer RNA, 63 nt
Filed under: Culicoides humeralis
Lineage: Eukaryota; Metazoa; Arthropoda; Insecta; Diptera; Ceratopogonidae
Description: tRNA-Tyr
Rfam family: tRNA
About the family: Transfer RNA (tRNA) molecules are approximately 80 nucleotides in length.
Source: RNAcentral